UACGUAGGGUGCAAGCGUUGUCCGGAAUUAUUGGGCGUAAAAGAGCUCGUAGGCGGUUUGUUGCGUCGGCUGUGAAAUCCCCGAGGCUCAACCUCGGGUCUGCAGUCGAUACGAGCAAACUAGAGUGUUGCAGGGGGAGACUGGAAUUCCUGGUGUAGCGGUGAAAUGCGCAGAUAUCAGGAGGAACACCGGUGGCGAAGGCGGGUCUCUGGGCAACAACUGACGCUGGAGGAGCGAAAAGCGUGGGGGAGCGAAACAGG
RNAcentral lists this ribosomal RNA (260 nucleotides) under uncultured bacterium. RNAcentral describes it as "partial 16S ribosomal RNA". It matches the Rfam family "Bacterial small subunit ribosomal RNA", at positions 524 to 776 of the family's 1533-position model. The record is from RNAcentral.